UUUUGCUACAGGACACGGACUUUUGGCUAGAGAAUAGGAGGAACUUCCCAAUAGCAAGAGCUGCUCUGUCACAGAACUCAGUGCCUGGGGUUGGGAGAGUAUUCUUUGACUGGAGCUGCUUACAAAGAUAUUGGGGGAAAACGGCGACAGCAACUUCCCAGUCAAGUGACCGGGUUCCAGCUGCUUUUCUCUCCUAGAAGUGGAAAAAGCAAUGAAGGUUCUUUCAUUUGGCUGAGAUCAUCUGAGGAGGAAUUCUUGGAGAGAAGCACUGUGCCCUCCUGUCAAGUUGCGUUUGACUGAAAAUAAAACCCCAG
Molecule: long non-coding RNA, 314 nt
Filed under: Salvator merianae (Argentine black and white tegu)
Lineage: Eukaryota; Metazoa; Chordata; Lepidosauria; Squamata; Teiidae
Description: lncRNA (ENSSMRG00000011711.1)
Source: RNAcentral